AUUGAACGCUGGCGGCAGGCCUAACACAUGCAAGUCGAACGGUAACAGGAAGCAGCUUGCUGCUUCGCUGACGAGUGGCGGACGGGUGAGUCAUGUCUGGGAAGCUGCCUGGUGGAGGGGGAUAACUACUGGACACGGAAGCUAAUACCGCAUCAUGUCGCAAGACGAAACGGGGGGACCUCGCGCCGGCUUGGCGUCGGAUGGCCCGAGAUGGGGUUGGUUGGUUGGUGGGUUAACGGCCCACCAAGGCUACGAUCCCUAGCUGGUCUGAGAGGAUGACCAGCCACACUGGAACUGAGACACGUUCCAGACUCCUACGGGAGGCAGCAGUGGGGAAUUUUGCACAAUGGGCGCAAGCCUGAUGCAGCCAUGCCGCGUGUAGGAUGAAGGCCUUCGGGUUGUAAAGUACUUUCGGCGGGGAGGAAGGGACUAAUUUUAAUAACGAUGCGCAUUGACGUUACCGGAAGAAGAAGCACCGGCUAACUACGUG
Molecule: ribosomal RNA, 490 nt
Filed under: uncultured bacterium
Lineage: Bacteria
Description: partial 16S ribosomal RNA
Rfam family: Bacterial small subunit ribosomal RNA
Source: RNAcentral